Molecule: long non-coding RNA, 527 nt
Organism: Lolium perenne
Lineage: Eukaryota; Viridiplantae; Streptophyta; Magnoliopsida; Poales; Poaceae
Source: RefSeq, a predicted model, not a curated record
GUUUGGGAGGGGAAAAUACUGGCCCACGAGCAAAUCCCGAAAUUUCCCCGAUAGCCCGUUUACUUCUCUGGUAUGUUUGGGGAAUUCCCGGCCCAUCCCCGAUCUUCCCGGCCUGGUAAGCCUCCUCCUCGGGUAUUCUCACCCACGACCCUACCCCCGUGUAUUUGGUCCUGGAAGGAAAGGGAGAGACGAGGCGACGGCGGCGAUCGGAGCCGACGGCGGCGGGGAAGGAGACGGCGGUGACUGAACGAGCAAACCACAACGGCGAUGACGAGUUCCUACUCCGGCGACAGUUUUCCGGUCUGCCAUGGACUGCAGCUCCGAUGACUCAUCAGAGCUAAAUGAUAUUGAUAUUGAUGGCUAUCCAGGUUACUUAUUUGUCAAGUUGUUGCAUCUGUGUUCCUGUUCGAGAAAAUUGUAUUACACUGAGUUCAUGUUAAAUAGUGUAUGUGUAAUGCCGUUUAAAAUUAUACCUAAUACUUAGUGGAACUGGUUGUGCAUUACACAAUCAAAGAUUGAGUUUCUAA